This 466-nucleotide ribosomal RNA is filed under the name Doryfera johannae. RNAcentral's name for it is "partial 12S ribosomal RNA". It matches the Rfam family "Bacterial small subunit ribosomal RNA", at positions 779 to 1439 of the family's 1533-position model. Lineage: Eukaryota; Metazoa; Chordata; Aves; Apodiformes; Trochilidae. The record is from RNAcentral.
UAGAUACCCCACUAUGCUUAGCCCUAAAUCUUGACACUUUCCCCACUAGAGUGUCCGCCUGAGAACUACGAGCACAAACGCUUAAAACUCUAAGGACUUGGCGGUGCCCCAAACCCACCUAGAGGAGCCUGUUCUGUAAUCGAUAACCCACGAUACACCCGACCGCUCUUUGCCCUACCAGCCUAUAUACCGCCGUCGCCAGUUCACCUGUGCUGAAAGAACAAUAGUGGACACAAUAGCCCCAACCACGCUAGCAAGACAGGUCAAGGUAUAGCCCAUAGAGCGGAAGAAAUGGGCUACAUUUUCUAACCUAGAAAACCACGAAAAGGGGGAUGAAACCUCCCCCUAGAAGGCGGAUUUAGCAGUAAAGUAGGACUACAAUGCCACCUUAAAGCCGGCCCUGAGGCACGUACAUACCGCCCGUCACCCUCCUCGCAAGCUUCGUUAACAAGUAACUGACUCCAAU